This is a non-coding RNA of Marmota flaviventris (yellow-bellied marmot), 1384 nucleotides long. The record is from RefSeq and is a predicted model, not a curated record. Lineage: Eukaryota; Metazoa; Chordata; Mammalia; Rodentia; Sciuridae.
GUUGAAUACACCUGCUAAUGGAGCAUUGGCUGCAGCUGCAGUGGGAAAUUGGCGCCGCUUCCCCUUUAGCAGUGACUCAGGGUCCCAAGUAGCUGAAUAGUGCUGAACAGUGGCCAGUAAUCCACUUAAGUUCUAAGUCAACUUAUUCUCUUUAUACUUACACUCCUGGAAUCUUACUGAUUUUCUGUACCUUUGUCUUGUUUUCUGACUUGGCGUAGGGUCUGUGUAGGGUUGAGAAAUAUGAUGAUUUGGCUGCCUUGACAAUAGUAACAACACCUGACCUUUGAAGCAGAUUGAUUGGAGGGAUGCUGACUUGAUCAAACCAGUUGUAGCAUACCUAACAAUGGGCAUUUCAUUUGAUCCCUGAGAUCUUUACUAUUAAAAUUGGCCAGAUAUCGACUAAGCUAAUAAGCAAGACAAAAGCAGUAGCAUUCCCAGUUAGACAUGGCCAAUCACAUUUUGUAUCCACAGGGGAUUUGUUCUAGCCCCUCUGUGGUUGGAGUGUGUUAACUGGCACAAAAAACAAAAACAAACAAACAAAAAAACCCAAAAACAAAAACAAAACAACUUUAUAACUCAGACACUUGAUAAACUAAAGGAGUGAUUUUAUAGAUAAAUUAUUGUGGGAAAACUUCACAUGAUAUUGACAGUAUCUUAAAAUUAGUUACUACAGUGCAAAACUAUGGGGGACUAUUUUUUCCUUAAGAUGUAUUAAGUAAGCAACUGAUUGUUGAAAUUGGAAAUACUUAAUGACAACAGACUUGGAGGGAUAGAGAGCUAUAUCCAGCCAUGCAACAAGGACAUCUCAUGGAAAAAAUUGCUUGAUCUACAGGAGGAAUAAGGCCUUGCCUUGCAGAGUGAUUCUUAUUGGGAGCAUUUAUUGAGCAGGUACAGCUUACUACAUCAUAGAAGUUGCCAGGGGAAUUCAAGAGAUGCAGGUAUUUCCUUCCCCUCAGGGGAUUAUCAACAGGAAAAAGUGAUUGGCAUGUUGGACCUUUGGGUUAUACUUAUGUACUUUGUCUUCUCAGGAAUGAACUACUCAUUAAAUCCAGAAGCAAGCCAGCAUGAUACCAAUAAAAGUGAUGUGGUCUUAAUUAUAGUUUUGAUCUCCCUAACAAGACAGGUCUGCUGAGAACAAGUUUCAACAAGUGAAAAAUUUCUUUUUCACCUCAGGGUGACUGGCCUCUCUGUAUCCGAUGGUCAGGCCUCAGUCAUUUCUAUCAGUUUGUUUAUCCUUUCCCCAACCCCCAUCAGCUGGAUAUUAAGAACAGCAGUGAGUAUUGGUUGAGGAGUGGUUGAGUCAGUGGCAAAAUGGCUCCUCAAAGUCAUUUUUUGUGAGCCCAACUGACAAUUAGAAAUAAAAAGUGAUGCCUUAUUUUUUUCA